CCUACGGGGGGCAGCAGUGGGGAAUAUUGCACAAUGGGGGAAACCCUGAUGCAGCGACGCCGCGUGAGUGAAGAAGUAAUUCGUUAUGUAAAGCUCUAUCAGCAGGGAAGAAAAUGACGGUACCUGAGUAAGAAGCCCCGGCUAACUACGUGCCAGCAGCCGCGGUAAUACGUAGGGGGCAAGCGUUAUCCGGAUUUACUGGGUGUAAAGGGAGCGUAGACGGCAGUGCAAGUCUGGAGUGAAAGGCGGGGGCGCAACCCCCGGACUGAUCGGGAAACUGUACGGCGGGAGUGCAGGAGAGGUAAGUGAAAUUCAGAGGGUAGGGGGGAAUGGCGGAGAUAUUAGGAGGAACACCAGUGGCGAAGGCGGCUUACGGGAUUGUAACUGACGUGGAGGCUCGAAAGCGUGGGGAGCAAACAGGAUGAGAUACCCCAGUAGUC
This 440-nucleotide ribosomal RNA is filed under the name uncultured bacterium. Its description in RNAcentral is "partial 16S ribosomal RNA". It matches the Rfam family "Bacterial small subunit ribosomal RNA", at positions 338 to 795 of the family's 1533-position model. The record is from RNAcentral.